This 74-nucleotide transfer RNA is filed under the name marine sediment metagenome. It matches the Rfam family "tRNA". Rfam says of the family: Transfer RNA (tRNA) molecules are approximately 80 nucleotides in length. The record is from RNAcentral.
GGGGAGGUAGCUCAGCCCGGGAGAGCAAUCGGCUGAAGACCGAUGUGUCGCGGGUUCAAAUCCCGCCCUCCCCA